GAUGAACGCUGGCGGCGUGCCUAAUACAUGCAAGUCGAGCGAACAGAUGAGGAGCUUGCUCCUCUGACGUUAGCGGCGGACGGGUGAGUAACACGUGGAUAACCUACCUAUAAGACUGGGAUAACUUCGGGAAACCGGAGCUAAUACCGGAUAAUAUAUUGAACCGCAUGGUUCAAUAGUGAAAGACGGUUUUGCUGUCACUUAUAGAUGGAUCCGCGCCGCAUUAGCUAGUUGGUAAGGUAACGGCUUACCAAGGCAACGAUGCGUAGCCGACCUGAGAGGGUGAUCGGCCACACUGGAACUGAGACACGGUCCAGACUCCUACGGGAGGCAGCAGUAGGGAAUCUUCCGCAAAGGGCGAAAGCCUGACGGAGCAACGCCGCGUGAGUGAUGAAGGUCUUCGGAUCGUAAAACUCUGUUAUUAGGGAAGAACAAAUGUGUAAGUAACUAUGCACGUCUUGACGGUACCUAAUCAGAGAGCCACGGCUAACUACGUG
Molecule: ribosomal RNA, 497 nt
Filed under: uncultured bacterium
Lineage: Bacteria
Description: partial 16S ribosomal RNA
Rfam family: Bacterial small subunit ribosomal RNA
Source: RNAcentral